GAAGCGCCUGGAAGAAGCCCCCUUGGUGACCAAGGCCUUCAGGGAGGCGCAGAUAAAGGAGAAGCUGGAGCGAGGUGGCUCUGAGGGUCCUGUUCCCCGACCGCUACGUCCUACAGGGCUGCUUCCGCCCCAGCGAGACAGUGGGGGACUUGCGAGACUUCGUGAGGAGCCACCUGGGGAACCCCGAGCUGUCAUUUUACCUGUUCGUCACCCCUCCAAAAACAGUCCUGGAUGACCACACGCAGACCCUCUUUCAGGCGAACCUCUUCCCGGCCGCUCUGGUGCACUUCGGAGCCGAGGAGCCGGCAGGUGAGUGUCAGUGGUUGGGGCCAGUGUCGGAGUCCAGCCAGCCUGUCCCUGGACCUCAGAGCCAGCUGCCCGGGAGGGCGUUCGGUCUGGGGCCUCCUUUGGGUCUGAGAGGGAGAUCUGCGGCCCCCAGUAACCACCUCCCCGAGAGAGGACUGGGACAGCCACCUGCUGGCCACCCCCUCCCAGAGCUGAGUGCUGGUGGGCAGAUGCUGGGUGGAUGGUGAGUGGGUCCCUCCUCAGAGGCUCAGGGUGAGCUUGGGCCUCCCUGCAGGUGUCUACCUGGAGCCUGGCCUGCUGGAGCAUGCCAUCUCCCCAUCUGCGGCCGACGUGCUGGUGGCCAGGUAAGUGCCGGUGGGUCUGGGGGCACCUCCCGUGGCGGCACUCACCACUCUGUGUCUUCGCCUCCCCACAGGUACAUGUCCAGGGCCGCCGGGUCCCCUUCCCCAUUGCCAGCCCCUGACCCUGCACCUAAGUCUGAGCCAGCUGCUGAGGAGGGGGCGCUGGUCCCCCCUGAGCCCAUCCCAGGGACGGCCCAGCCCGUGAAGAGGAGCCUGGGCAAGGUGCCCAAGUGGCUGAAGCUGCCGGGUACUGCGGCUGGGUGGAAGCCAGCAAGAGGUGAGAGCUGCCAGCCUGAGGUGCCCACUCCGCCAGCCACAGGACCACCUC
RNAcentral lists this small RNA (975 nucleotides) under Pan troglodytes (chimpanzee). RNAcentral describes it as "retained intron". The record is from RNAcentral. Lineage: Eukaryota; Metazoa; Chordata; Mammalia; Primates; Hominidae.